UACGGGGGGAGCAAGCGUUGUUCGGAUUUACUGGGCGUAAAGGGCGCGUAGGCGGCCACCGCAAGUCGACUGUGAAAUCUCCGGGCUUAACCCGGAAAGGUCAGCCGAUACUGCGGGGCUAGAGUGCAGAAGGGGCAACUGGAAUUCUCGGUGUAGCGGUGAAAUGCGUAGAUAUCGAGAGGAACACCUGCGGCGAAGGCGGGUUGCUGGGCU
This 213-nucleotide ribosomal RNA is filed under the name uncultured bacterium. RNAcentral's name for it is "partial 16S ribosomal RNA". It matches the Rfam family "Bacterial small subunit ribosomal RNA", at positions 524 to 735 of the family's 1533-position model. The record is from RNAcentral.